AGCAGCCGCGGUAAUUCCAGCUCCAAUAGCGUAUAUUAAAGUUGUUGCAGUUAAAAAGCUCGUAGUUGAAUUUCGGGGUUCUACCGUUGGUCGGGCUAUUGUCUGUACUGGUGUGUAGAAUUUCUACCUUCUGGGGAACUAUCAUGCUAUUAAUUUAGCGUGGUAGGAAACCAGGACCUUUACCUUGAAAAAUUAGAGUGUUCAAAGCAGGCUUAUGUCUGAAUACAUUAGCAUGGAAUAAUAAAAUAGGACGGUGGUCCUGUUUUGUUGGUUUCUGAAUCACCGUAAUGAUUAAUAGGGAUAGUUGGGGGCAUUAGUAUUCAAUUGUCAGAGGUGAAAUUCUUGGAUUUAUUGAAGACUAACUUCUGCGAAAGCAUUUGCCAAGGAUGUUUUCAUUAAUCAAGAACGAAAGUUAGGGGAUCGAAGACGAUCAGAUACCGUCGUAGUCUUAACCAUAAACUAUGCCGACUAGGGAUCGGAUGAUGUUAUUUUAAUGACUCAUUCGGCGCCUUACGGGAAA
This 520-nucleotide ribosomal RNA is filed under the name uncultured Scutellospora. Its description in RNAcentral is "SSU rRNA". It matches the Rfam family "Eukaryotic small subunit ribosomal RNA", at positions 569 to 1097 of the family's 1831-position model. The record is from RNAcentral. Lineage: Eukaryota; Fungi; Glomeromycota; Glomeromycetes; Diversisporales; Gigasporaceae.